CAUGUCCUUUUGAGAAUUAUUUAAGGUCUAAUCUGCUCAAUGAGAAUUUAAAUUGCCGCGGUAUCUUAACUGUGCAAAGGUAGCAUAAUAAUUAGUUUUUUUAUUGAAAGCUGGAAUGAAUGAUUGGACAAGAAAACUACUGUCUCUUAAUAAUUUAUUAUUGAAAUUAAUUUUUAAGUUAAAAAGCUUAAAUUUUUUUUAAAGACGAGAAGACCCUAUAGAGUUUAAUUUUUACUUUUUAUAUUAUUAUUUUGUAAUGGGUUAUUUUAUUAUGAAGUAAAAAUUUAAUUGGGGUGAUUAAAAAAUUUAGUAAACUUUUUUAAAUUAUUAUUAUUUAUUUGUAAAUUUUGAGUCUAAUAUUUUUAAAUUUAAUAUAAAUUACCUUAGGGAUAACAGCGUAAUUCUUUUUUGAAGUUCUUAUUUAAAGAAGAGAUUGCGACCUCGAUGUUGGAUUAAAAUUUAUUUUUGGUGCAGAAGCUAAAAAAUUUAAGUCUGUUCGACUUUUAAAAUUUUACAUGAUCUGAGU
RNAcentral lists this ribosomal RNA (526 nucleotides) under Malthinus sp. UPOL RK0181. RNAcentral describes it as "partial 16S ribosomal RNA". The stretch from base 389 to 526 matches the Rfam family "Bacterial large subunit ribosomal RNA", at positions 2473 to 2610 of the family's 2925-position model. Lineage: Eukaryota; Metazoa; Arthropoda; Insecta; Coleoptera; Cantharidae. The record is from RNAcentral.